GAGGAGAACAGUGCAGCCCCUGUGGUCAUCUCCACAUCCACAUGGAGCUGCCAGCCAGCUCUAGCCGUGACUUCCAGUUGCUCUGCCACUGAGCAGUUCUCAUCUGAAGAUCUCAGACAUGAAGUAAUCCUCCGAGCAUUUCUAGAGAAAUGUGGACUGCCAUUAAACCUGUUUUACAGACACAGAGCUUUUUCAUUAGUCCUCGUCCCUGUUGAUCUUGUUCAGCCACCUGAGCCCUCAAGCACCAAAUCCCUUCUGCUCCUCAGCCUGCGCUGGGACGGCCGCCUCGCUGGUAGGGAGCGUUCCGGAAAAUGCAGCCCUGCUUCUCCUGUACCCGGGACUUGGCUUUGCACCGUGCCAUGCAGCAGGAAGGCUUCCAAGCUUAUCGGCAGGGUUGCCAAGGGCUGGACAUGUUGUAAAGCAAGUAUCUCGAAGGAGAAAGAAGUGUCCCAUGCCAAACAGCUGUAG
Molecule: long non-coding RNA, 468 nt
Filed under: Apteryx owenii (little spotted kiwi)
Lineage: Eukaryota; Metazoa; Chordata; Aves; Apterygiformes; Apterygidae
Description: lncRNA (ENSAOWG00000007488.1)
Source: RNAcentral